AGCGAACGCUGGCGGCAGGCCUAACACAUGCAAGUCGAACGAACCUUUCGGGGUUAGUGGCGGACGGGUGAGUAACACGUGGGAACGUGCCUUUAGGUUCGGAAUAACUCAGGGAAACUUGUGCUAAUACCGAAUGUGCCCUUCGGGGGAAAGAUUAAUCGCCUUUAGAGCGGCCCGCGUCUGAUUAGCUAGUUGGUUGAGGUAAUGGCUCACCAAGGCGACGAUCAGUAGCUGGUCUGAGAGGAUGAUCAGCCACAUUGGGACUGAGACACGGCCCAAACUCCUACGGGAGGCAGCAGUGGGGAAUCUUGCGCAAUGGGCGAAAGCCUGACGCAGCCAUGCGGCGUGAAUGAUGAAGGUCUUAGGAUUGUAAAAUUCUUUCACCGGGGACGAUAAUGACGGUACCCGGAGAAGAAGCCCCGGCUAACUUCGUG
This 434-nucleotide ribosomal RNA is filed under the name uncultured bacterium. RNAcentral describes it as "partial 16S ribosomal RNA". It matches the Rfam family "Bacterial small subunit ribosomal RNA", at positions 29 to 507 of the family's 1533-position model. The record is from RNAcentral.